Molecule: ribosomal RNA, 117 nt
Filed under: Pteropus alecto (black flying fox)
Lineage: Eukaryota; Metazoa; Chordata; Mammalia; Chiroptera; Pteropodidae
Source: RNAcentral
GUCUAUGGCCAUGCCAUCCUGAACAAGCCUGAUCCCGUCUGAUCUUGGAAGCUAAGCAGGGUCAGGCCUGGUUAGUACUUGGACGGGAGAUCCUAAGAAGACCAGGUGCUGAAGGUG